GCAGUCGACGAUGAACCAUCUUCGGGUGGGGAUUAGUGGCGAACGGGUGAGUAACACGUGGGCAAUCUGCCCUUCACUCUGGGACAAGCCCUGGAAACGGGGUCUAAUACCGGAUACUGACCUGCCAAGGCAUCUUGGCGGGUCGAAAGCUCCGGCGGUGAAGGAUGAGCCCGCGGCCUAUCAGCUUGUUGGUGAGGUAAUGGCUCACCAAGGCGACGACGGGUAGCCGGCCUGAGAGGGCGACCGGCCACACUGGGACUGAGACACGGCCCAGACUCCUACGGGAGGCAGCAGUGGGGAAUAUUGCACAAUGGGCGAAAGCCUGAUGCAGCGACGCCGCGUGAGGGAUGACGGCCUUCGGGUUGUAAACCUCUUUCAGCAGGGAAGAAGCGAAAGUGACGGUACCUGCAGAAGAAGCGCCGGCUAACUACGUGCCAGCAGCCGCGGUAAUACGUAGGGCGCAAGCGUUGUCCGGAAUUAUUGGGCGUAAAGAGCUCGUAGGCGGCUUGUCACGUCGGUUGUGAAAGCCCGGGGCUUAACCCCGGGUCUGCAGUCGAUACGGGCAGGCUAGAGUUCGGUAGGGGAGAUCGGAAUUCCUGGUGUAGCGGUGAAAUGCGCAGAUAUCAGGAGGAACACCGGUGGCGAAGGCGGAUCUCUGGGCCGAUACUGACGCUGAGGAGCGAAAGCGUGGGGAGCGAAC
Molecule: ribosomal RNA, 700 nt
Filed under: Bacillota bacterium
Lineage: Bacteria; Bacillati; Bacillota
Description: bacterial SSU rRNA
Rfam family: Bacterial small subunit ribosomal RNA
Source: RNAcentral